UACGUAGGGUGCAAGCGUUGUCCGGAAUUAUUGGGCGUAAAGAGCUCGUAGGCGGUUUGUCGCGUCUGCUGUGAAAACUCGGGGCUUAACUCCGGGCCUGCAGUGGGUACGGGCAGACUAGAGUGCGGUAGGGGAGACUGGAAUUCCUGGUGUAGCGGUGAAAUGCGCAGAUAUCAGGAGGAACACCGGUGGCGAAGGCAGGUCUCUGGGCCGAUACUGGCGCUGAGGAGCGAAAGCGUGGGGAGCGAACAGG
This 253-nucleotide ribosomal RNA is filed under the name uncultured bacterium. RNAcentral describes it as "partial 16S ribosomal RNA". It matches the Rfam family "Bacterial small subunit ribosomal RNA", at positions 524 to 776 of the family's 1533-position model. The record is from RNAcentral.